Long non-coding RNA from Girardinichthys multiradiatus, 3093 nucleotides. RefSeq lists it as uncharacterized. The transcript is spliced from 3 exons. The record is from RefSeq and is a predicted model, not a curated record. Lineage: Eukaryota; Metazoa; Chordata; Actinopteri; Cyprinodontiformes; Goodeidae.
UAUUUUGUCCUAAUACCAUCGCCUUACUGGGCUGGUAUUCACAGGACAACCCUUAACAGACCGAAAUAUUAUUUGAUAAAAUAUUAAAUAAUAAUCUCAGAUUCAUAGUCACAGCAAAAGCAAAAGUCAUUUAUCAUAUUAAGCAGUGAUAUUGUAUCUUCCACUGUAAAAAAAUAAUUUUAAAACAAAGAUUUAUAAAAACAUUUGGAAUUAAAAAGAUGGAUGACUUGAAACUACAAUUCAAUUCAAAGAUACUUUAUUGAUCCCUGAGGGGAAAUUAGAAUUCCAGUACAACCCAUCCAAACACUCUUGCUUUAUCCUAUUUCAUACAGACCUGAAAAAGCUGACUAGUGGAUCAUGCAGGAACAAAUGACCAAAUAUGAUGGACGAUGCUCGGAAAUCUGUGGUUUGUGGUGGAAAGUCUUCCUUCCCCUUUUGUUUUCCUUUUAUGAUGACCAUGACUUACAGUUACAGAAAAAAGGGGAAAUACAAUGACCAACAUGUGAUGUUUUCUAUGAAAUAUUGCUGAAAACAGAAAUGAUGAAAAAUUGAUAUAGCAUGAUAUAGAAAGAAAGCCUCAUGGGCACUAGACUUGUGGUCCAGACAAAAUUGUAAAAGAAAAUCCUUACAACUUUAGUGCUUAUUAUUAUGAAUAUAUUAUUUAAUAUUUAUUAUUUUAAAAUUUAAUUCAAUAAUAAUUCAGCCUGUUAAGUGUUGUGAAUACCAACCUAAUAAGGUGGUAGUAUUAGGACAAUAAUGAAAGGGAUGAGCCAAGCUCUGGAAUAAAUUCACACAAUUUCUUAAUGUCAGAGUUCGAUAUAAUGAUAAACUCAGAAAAGGUAUGCAAACCGCUUUAAUUAGUGUUGCUUCUAGAGGCCUCAGAAAAAAAGUCUUGUCUUAUUACAUCAUUUUGAUGAAUGAAUCCUGGGUACUCGAACAGCAAAAUCAUUACUUUGUUGCACACAAUCGGUGUGAUCGUAGUCACUUUUGGAUCCAAGGAUUCUUCAAAGUACUCUUCAAGUUACUCUUACUCGCUUGCAAGUUUUAAAGCGUUCAGCUGACGCGUGGUCUGGUCAAUCCAUAAGACGCUGUCUGUAGCCGGAAUGAGACUGAGCGGAGGGGAAAUGUGCCCUUGGGUUAGAGAUUCCAGCUCUGAUGCGCCCUCUUCCUUGGCUGUGUUAGGAAUGUUAGAAGGUUAGUGAGAUUUUGAAAGGUGUAGAAAAGUUCAUACUGGCCUUCGUUUAUGUACAGUGCAGAGUCCAAAUUCAUCCAUGUUCACUUCAUGGCGGGGGUCCUAACACAACCAAUCAUGCAGCAGAGGACUCACACUGGUUUCAAUAAGGAAAAAGCUCAACUAAAUCUAAGUCUAAAUUAAUUUAUAAAAUAUAUAUUUAUGUAUUUUUUCUAUGGUAUUCCUUUAUUCAUAUAGUUAAGAGCAGAGCCAUUUUUGUCUCUGGACCAGCUAAAUAACAUUUAUUUAGAACCACAAAAUAAACAUGACUCUUCUACAUAAAUGUUGUUUUCGUUAUACCUACUAUAGGAAAUUUUAGCAAUGGGAUAUUUGAUUUUUAAAGAAAAUUAUAUCAAAAAAGCAUGUAGUUUGCAGUCUACUGACAUAAAAAAAUAUUCCUUACACUGUCAGUGUCAUUCUUUGUAGAAAUGUUAUGCAUGUAAAGUUUAGGGCAUUAAAACACAUAGGAAAAAAUGCUUAAUGUUUACUAUCUUUACAUUUUAAAACAUAAUUUAAUUAUUUAGUAUUUUGACCAAAGUUAUUAGGAGGAAGAAUAGAGGGUCUAAAGAGAUACUUGUGGCUCCAGAGCCUCAGGUUGCAGAUCCCGGGUUUAGACCAAAGGAUAUUCAUAUGUUAGAAUUGUCGGGGUUCUGGGUUCAGUGUGUGUGUUGUGCUUUGUUUGUGACUUUGUUUUCAGUUUCCAGAUGGUGCCGGAGUUUUUCAUGUGUGCUGGAUGACAGGUGCGACUGGUCUGCAUUGCUUUGAGGAGUAUUUAAGCAGGAGGAUGGCAGCACUUCGAUGCCAGAGUGUUUGCCUUCAGUGGCAGAAACCUGAACCUUCUGAUCAUUCUCCAUUGAACUUUAACUCUGGUUCCAGAAGUUUCUGGACGAUCAAGAUUACCUAUGUUUGGUGGAUUUUCGUUUGGAUUUCGUUUCCAAGUACCAAGCUGGCAUCUUCCAAGGCAGAAGCGUACCCUGUCCACUCUCCAACGCAAAUACCUGAACAUUGAACUAACUCCUGAACUCACCAGAACUCACUCUGCAGCUCAAGUAAACCAUCUGGAUUUUCUCCGUUUCGCACACCUGGGUCCCGACUCCCUCUACCCCUGGCGACCUGACUGCACUCAUUUAUUGGCGAUUCACCCGUUCAUGUUCCAGACUCACUUAUUGUAAAUAAAACACCUUUUGCUGAUUCAGUUGUUCCUCAGAGUGUUCUUCUGUAUGUGGGUCAGAUCUAUUACGAAAACAAUGACAAGAAUGACCCAGUCAAAGUCCACAACUAAAUCUAAUAAAAAAUAUGUGGCAACACUUGAAAACUGGUAUUUACACAGAUGCUCUCCAGUCGAUCUGACUGACCUUGAGUAAUUCUGUAAAGAAAGGGCAAAACCAGAUUUUAAUAUAGAAAGCUGAUAACCACAUUUUAAUUGCACCAAAAUGUGAUUCUACAAAGUAUUGACUCAGGGAUUAAAUACAGAUGCCUGCCACACUUUUCAAAUUUUGUAUUUUUUUUUUUUUAGUUUUGCUGGGAAUUGCAGAGGUUAAAAACAUAUCAUGAGAAUACAUUUAAGCCAAAGAUUAUUCAUACCCCUGGCAGAUUUAGGUUGAAUGUAAUCUUUUGGUUUUAGCAACAUUCUUUGGAGAGGCCCAGCCACAGUCCUAAUUUGAAUCUGAAACGUGCAAAUGUCGGGUCAUCACUUAUAAGAGUUGGAUUGGAAUAAUGCCAAUAAAAGGUUGUCAAUUUAUGAUUAAACAGGGCAGAAAUUAUUUUUGACAUUCCAUUUUUUUAUAAAGAUUUUCAAAUAUAUGUGUGUGUGUGUGUAUAUAUAUAUAUAUGAUGUAGUUUCCUUUUUUUCAAAACUGAUA